Molecule: non-coding RNA, 643 nt
Organism: Taeniopygia guttata (zebra finch)
Lineage: Eukaryota; Metazoa; Chordata; Aves; Passeriformes; Estrildidae
Source: RefSeq, a predicted model, not a curated record
UUUUCCAAGGAAAAUCUUUAGUAAUUCCUUAAAUAAGCAAUUAGGAACAACAUUAAGUGGGAUAAUUAUGAGGCACAAGACUUUUGGUGUAUUAAAGUUGCAUUCCUGGAGCUCUUUCUUCCUGAAAUUUCUUCCUAUUAAGGAAAAAAAAAAUCAACAAAAUUGCAAGUUUUCCCAUUUUUUCCUUUGUGGGUUUAGUUUUGCUUAACGUUUAUUUUCAGUUCUCAGCUACAAACUUCAAAUAUUCCUCAGGAAAACAGAAAGAUUGACUAAGAAGUGAAAAUAAAUCACAUUGGAUCAAUUUAAUUUGAUAUUCUCCCAACAAGAAUAAACCAGGGGAUUUCUCAGGAAUUUGUUGUGUAUUUUAAGAGCAUUAAUUUGACCAAAAUGGCAAUUUUUAGGCGUUUUUUGCUUCUCUUAAUUAUUUCUCUGUUACUUCUCUAAAAAAAGUGAAAAUAAAUCACAUUGGAUCAAUUUCAUUUGAUAUUAUCUAACAUGAAUAAACCAGGGGAAUUCUCAGGAAUUUGCUGUGUAUUUUAAGAGCAUUAAUUUGACCAAAAUGGCAAUUUUUAGCUGUUUUUUUCUUCUCUUAAUUAUUUCUCUAUUACUUCUCAUAGUAAUUAAAAAAUAUACAUUUUUAAUU